RNAcentral lists this ribosomal RNA (428 nucleotides) under Chloroflexota bacterium. RNAcentral describes it as "Chloroflexi bacterium partial 16S ribosomal RNA". It matches the Rfam family "Bacterial small subunit ribosomal RNA", at positions 355 to 776 of the family's 1533-position model. Lineage: Bacteria; Bacillati; Chloroflexota. The record is from RNAcentral.
UGGGGAAUAUUGCACAAUGGGCGCAAGCCUGAUGCAGCAUGCCGCGUGUAUGAAGAAGGCCUUCGGGUUGUAAAGUACUUUCAGCGGGGAGGAAGGGAGUAAAGUUAAUACCUUUGCUCAUUGACGUUACCCGCAGAAGAAGCACCGGCUAACUCCGUGCCAGCAGCCGCGGUAAUACGGAGGGUGCAAGCGUUAAUCGGAAUUACUGGGCGUAAAGCGCACGCAGGCGGUUUGUUAAGUCAGAUGUGAAAUCCUCGGGCUCAACCUGGGAACUGCAUCUGAUACUGGCAAGCUUGAGUCUCGUAGAGGGGGGUAGAAUUCCAGGUGUAGCGGUGAAAUGCGUAGAGAUCUGGAGGAAUACCGGUGGCGAAGGCGGCCCCCUGGACGAAGACUGACGCUCAGGUGCGAAAGCGUGGGGAGCAAACAGG